AGAAAGCAAAAGAGCAUUCAUUUUCUCUCUUUAACUUCUUUUUUCCCUUUCUUUUCUUCUUCUUCUUCAGUCAAAAUGAAUGCUUUUCCACCAAAAACAGUGUUAAUUAAUGACCCCAAAAAGAGAACGCAAAGCUCUUAAAGAGAGGAAAGAGGAAA
RNAcentral lists this non-coding RNA (158 nucleotides) under Aurantiochytrium limacinum. Lineage: Eukaryota; Bigyra; Thraustochytrida; Thraustochytriidae. The record is from RNAcentral.